Molecule: ribosomal RNA, 253 nt
Filed under: uncultured bacterium
Lineage: Bacteria
Description: partial 16S ribosomal RNA
Rfam family: Bacterial small subunit ribosomal RNA
Source: RNAcentral
UACGAAGGGGGCUAGCGUUGUUCGGAAUUACUGGGCGUAAAGCGUGUGUAGGUGGUUGUCCAAGUUGGAUGUGAAAGCCUUGAGCUCAACUCAAGAAAUGCAUUCAGGACUGGGCGGCUAGAGGACCGGAGAGGAUAGUGGAAUUCCCAGUGUAGUGGUGAAAUACGUAGAGAUUGGGAAGAACACCAGUGGCGAAGGCGGCUAUCUGGACGGUUUCUAACACUAAGACUCGAAAGCGUGGGGAGCAAACAGG